RNAcentral lists this long non-coding RNA (332 nucleotides) under Cyanistes caeruleus (blue tit). Its description in RNAcentral is "lncRNA (ENSCCEG00000019330.1)". The record is from RNAcentral. Lineage: Eukaryota; Metazoa; Chordata; Aves; Passeriformes; Paridae.
AAGCUACUGAUUAUCUCCACAGACUACAGUUCCAGACACAUUAUUUAAAUGGAAUGCUUUUUUGAACUAGUUGAUAAAAGAUCCCAAUUUCCCCCUGUUGUGGUAAAAGAUGUUCUAAGCCUUUAGAGAGACAGGGAAACAUUACACAACAGGAAAACUUUACUGUGUUCAAUACAUUACAGAUUUAUCUUACGGUGACAGUAGCAUUCUAUAGCUCCAGAAAACAUUGUCUGGUAACAAAAGGAUGUUCCUCAGUGUCUCUGAGACUAAGCCUCUUGAAAAAAACACUUGAGUUAAGAAACCAGCUCUUACCCUUUUGGUAUAGCCCCUGA